UACAGAGGUGGCAAGCGUUGUUCGGAAUUACUGGGCGUAAAGGGCGCGUAGGCGGUUCGUUAAGUCCUGUGUGAAAUCCCCCGGCUCAACUGGGGAACUGCACAGGAAACUAGCGGGCUUGAGUUCGGGAGAGGGAAGCGGAAUUCCGGGUGUAGCGGUGAAAUUCGUAGAUAUUCGGAGGAACACCAGUGGCGAAGGCGGCUCACUGGCUCGAUACUGACGCUGAGGUGCGAAAGCGUGGGGAGCAAACAGG
RNAcentral lists this ribosomal RNA (253 nucleotides) under uncultured bacterium. Its description in RNAcentral is "partial 16S ribosomal RNA". It matches the Rfam family "Bacterial small subunit ribosomal RNA", at positions 524 to 776 of the family's 1533-position model. The record is from RNAcentral.